This 131-nucleotide ribosomal RNA is filed under the name Olea europaea subsp. europaea. Its description in RNAcentral is "SSU_rRNA_bacteria". The record is from RNAcentral. Lineage: Eukaryota; Viridiplantae; Streptophyta; Magnoliopsida; Lamiales; Oleaceae.
CAUCGCCCAUCAUACUACGGGAGUUGUCUAUGCCUGCACGGAUCACCUUAAUUUCAAGGAUGGGGAUGUCGAAGGUAGGGAUUUGACUGGAGUGAGUUGUAACACUGUAAUCGUACUGGAAAGUGAGGCUG